RNAcentral lists this ribosomal RNA (509 nucleotides) under Trigonopterus angulatus. RNAcentral's name for it is "partial large subunit ribosomal RNA". It matches the Rfam family "Bacterial large subunit ribosomal RNA", at positions 1856 to 2625 of the family's 2925-position model. Lineage: Eukaryota; Metazoa; Arthropoda; Insecta; Coleoptera; Curculionidae. The record is from RNAcentral.
AGCCUGCCCAAUGAAAAUUUAAAUGGCCGCGGUAUUCUGACCGUGCAAAGGUAGCAUAAUCAUUAGUUUUUUAAUUGAAAGCUUGAAUGAAAGGUUUGAUGAAAAAAUUUCUGUUUCUUUAAAAGUUUACUAGAAUUUUAUUUUUAGGUUAGAAAGCCUAAAUUUUUAUGAAAGACGAGAAGACCCUAUAGAGUUUUACAUUUAAAUUUAAUUGAAGUUAAAAGAAACAGAAAUUUUAUUUUAUGGAAAGUGUUAUGUUGGGGUGAUAGAAAAAUUGGAUAAACUUUUUUUAUGUUUAAACAUUUAUGUGUGAUUUUUUGAUCCUAAGUUUUAGAUUAUAAGAUUAAAUUACCUUAGGGAUAACAGCGUAAUUUUUUUUAGAGUUCUUAUCGAAAAAAAAGAUUGCGACCUCGAUGUUGGAUUAAAGUGAAUCAUAGGUGAAGAAGCUUAUUGAUUGGGUCUGUUCGACCUUUAAAAUUUUACAUGAUCUGAGUUUAAACCGGUGUGAG